Molecule: ribosomal RNA, 691 nt
Filed under: Wadotes hybridus
Lineage: Eukaryota; Metazoa; Arthropoda; Arachnida; Araneae; Agelenidae
Description: SSU rRNA
Rfam family: Eukaryotic small subunit ribosomal RNA
Source: RNAcentral
GUUAGAGGUUCGAAGGCGAUCAGAUACCGCCCUAGUUCUAACCAUAAACGAUGCCAGCCAGCGAUCCGGCUGUGUUCCUCAAAUGACACGCCGGGCAGCUUCCGGGAAACCAAAGCUUUUGGGUUCCGGGGGAAGUAUGGUUGCAAAGCUGAAACUUAAAGGAAUUGACGGAAGGGCACCACCAGGAUUGGAGCUUGCGGUUUAAUUUGACUCAACACGGGACAACCUACCCGGCCCGGACACAGGAAGGAUUGACAGAUUAAGAGCUCUUUCUUGAUUCUGUGGGUGGUGGUGCAUGGCCGUUCUUAGUUGGUGGACUGAUUUGUCUGGUUAAUUCCGUUAACGAACGAGACUCUAGCCUACUAAAUAGACGUUCCGAUUAUUUAUUUUUCGGACGUUCUUCUUAGAGGGACAAUCGGCGCUUAGCCCGAUGAGACAGAGCAAUAACAGGUCUGUGAUGCCCUUUGAUGUCCGGGGCCACACGCGUGCUACAUUGAAGGAAUCAGCGUGUGCUUUCCCUGUCCGACAGGACUGGGUAACCCGUUGAACCUCCUUCGUGCUGGGGAUAGGGGCUUGUAAUUGUUCCCCUUGAACGAGGAAUUCCUAGUAAGCACGAAUCAUCAGUUCGUGUUGACUAAGUCCCUGCCCUUUGUCCACACCGCCCGUCGCUACUACCGAUUGAAUGAUUUAG